AGGGUUUUCAAGUGGCCCAGCAUGGAAAUCAUUCUCAAUGAGGCUGAAGCUCAUGCUUCUUUAAAGCAUUUAUGUUUCAGCCCUGAUGGCAAGUUUCUUGUUUCCUUGGGAAGUCGUGGUCCUGGAAGGGUUUGGAAUAUGACUUCUUCAACAGUAGUAGCUUCUUUAUCAAAGGACAAUGAUGAGGUUUUUGCCUCAUGCAGUUUUUCUCAAAGCAGUGAUAAGACUCAGGU
RNAcentral lists this unclassified non-coding RNA (233 nucleotides) under Hevea brasiliensis (rubber tree). The record is from RNAcentral. Lineage: Eukaryota; Viridiplantae; Streptophyta; Magnoliopsida; Malpighiales; Euphorbiaceae.